RNAcentral lists this ribosomal RNA (243 nucleotides) under uncultured bacterium. RNAcentral describes it as "partial 16S ribosomal RNA". It matches the Rfam family "Bacterial small subunit ribosomal RNA", at positions 90 to 334 of the family's 1533-position model. The record is from RNAcentral.
CGUGAGCGGCGGACGGGUGAGUAACGCGUGGGUAACCUGCCUCAUACAGGGGAGUAACAGUUGGAAACGGACUGCUAAUACCGCAUAAGCGCACAGUACCGCAUGGUACGGUGUGAAAAACUCCGGUGGUAUGAGAUGGACCCGCGUCUGAUUAGGUAGUUGGUGGGUAACGGCCUACCAAGCCGACGAUCAGUAGCCGACUGAGAGGGUGACCGGCCACAUUGGGACUGAGACACGGCCCAA